CUACGGGAUGCUCCAGUGAGGAAUUUUGCGCAAUGGGGGCAACCCUGACGCAGCAACGCCGCGUGAGUGAAGAAGGCCUUUGGGUCGUAAAGCUCUGUCAAUUGGGAAGAAGUUAUGAGUGUCCAAUAGGCACUUAUAUUGACGGUACCAAUGGAGGAAGCGCCGGCUAACUCCGUGCCAGCAGCCGCGGUAACACGGGGGGCGCAAGCGUUAUUCGGAAUUAUUGGGCGUAAAGGGCGCGUAGGCGGUCUUAUCGGUCAGAUGUGAAAGCCCGGGGCUCAACCCCGGACGUGCAUUUGAAACAGUAAGACUUGAGUACGGGAGAGGAAAGCGGAAUUCCUGGUGUAGAGGUGAAAUUCGUAGAUAUCAGGAGGAACACCGAUGGCGAAGGCAGCUUUCUGGACCGAUACUGACGCUGAGGCGCGAAGGCGUGGGUAGCGAACGGGAUUAGAUACCCUUGUAGUC
This 465-nucleotide ribosomal RNA is filed under the name uncultured bacterium. RNAcentral describes it as "partial 16S ribosomal RNA". It matches the Rfam family "Bacterial small subunit ribosomal RNA", at positions 339 to 795 of the family's 1533-position model. The record is from RNAcentral.